GGUGGUAUAGCUCAGUGGGAGAGCGAGCACUUAGUCUACCCGAGGUCCUGGGUUCAAUCCCCAGUGCCUACA
RNAcentral lists this transfer RNA (72 nucleotides) under Camelus bactrianus (Bactrian camel). It matches the Rfam family "tRNA". Rfam says of the family: Transfer RNA (tRNA) molecules are approximately 80 nucleotides in length. Their secondary structure includes four short double-helical elements and three loops (D, anti-codon, and T loops). Further hydrogen bonds mediate the characteristic L-shaped molecular structure. tRNAs have two regions of fundamental functional importance: the anti-codon, which is responsible for specific mRNA codon recognition, and the 3' end, to which the tRNAs corresponding amino acid is attached (by aminoacyl-tRNA synthetases). tRNAs cope with the degeneracy of the genetic code in two manners: having more than one tRNA (with a specific anti-codon) for a particular amino acid; and 'wobble' base-pairing, i.e. permitting non-standard base-pairing at the 3rd anti-codon position. RNAcentral also lists the same sequence under 1 other name. The record is from Rfam by way of RNAcentral. Lineage: Eukaryota; Metazoa; Chordata; Mammalia; Artiodactyla; Camelidae.